GAUGAACGCUGGCGGCGUGCCUAAUACAUGCAAGUAGAACGCUGAAGCUUGGUGCUUGCACCGAGCGGAUGAGUUGCGAACGGGUGAGUAACGCGUAGGUAACCUGCCUCUUAACGGGGGAUAACUAUUGGAAACGAUAGCUAAUACCGCAUAAAAGUCGAUAUCGCAUGAUAUUGAUUUGAAAGGUGCAAAUGCAUCACUAAGAGAUGGACCUGCGUUGUAUUAGCUAGUUGGUGAGGUAACGGCUCACCAAGGCGACGAUACAUAGCCGACCUGAGAGGGUGAUCGGCCACACUGGGACUGAGACACGGCCCAGACUCCUACGGGAGGCAGCAGUAGGGAAUCUUCGGCAAUGGGGGCAACCCUGACCGAGCAACGCCGCGUGAGUGAAGAAGGUUUUCGGAUCGUAAAGCUCUGUUGUAAGAGAAGAACGAGUGUGAGAGUGGAAAGU
This 451-nucleotide ribosomal RNA is filed under the name Streptococcus parasanguinis. Its description in RNAcentral is "bacterial SSU rRNA". It matches the Rfam family "Bacterial small subunit ribosomal RNA", at positions 28 to 463 of the family's 1533-position model. The record is from RNAcentral. Lineage: Bacteria; Bacillati; Bacillota; Bacilli; Lactobacillales; Streptococcaceae.